Molecule: ribosomal RNA, 220 nt
Filed under: Photobacterium phosphoreum
Lineage: Bacteria; Pseudomonadati; Pseudomonadota; Gammaproteobacteria; Vibrionales; Vibrionaceae
Description: partial 16S ribosomal RNA
Rfam family: Bacterial small subunit ribosomal RNA
Source: RNAcentral
UUAAUUGAAGAGUUUGAUCAUGGCUCAGAUUGAACGCUGGCGGCAGGCCUAACACAUGCAAGUCGAGCGGUAACAGAAAUUAGCUUGCUAAUUUGCUGACGAGCGGCGGACGGGUGAGUAAUGCCUGGGAAUAUACCCUGAUGUGGGGGAUAACUAUUGGAAACGAUAGCUAAUACCGCAUAAUCUCUUCGGAGCAAAGAGGGGGACCUUCGGGCCUCUC